RNAcentral lists this ribosomal RNA (82 nucleotides) under Bacillus sp. Leaf13. The record is from RNAcentral. Lineage: Bacteria; Bacillati; Bacillota; Bacilli; Caryophanales; Bacillaceae.
CCAUUCCGAACACGGCAGUUAAGCUCUUCAGCGCCGAUGGUAGUUGGGGGUUUCCCCCUGUGAGAGUAGGACGCCGCCAAGC